Molecule: ribosomal RNA, 620 nt
Filed under: Malassezia cuniculi
Lineage: Eukaryota; Fungi; Basidiomycota; Malasseziomycetes; Malasseziales; Malasseziaceae
Description: eukaryotic LSU rRNA
Rfam family: Eukaryotic large subunit ribosomal RNA
Source: RNAcentral
UACGGAGGAAAAGAAACUAACAAGGAUUCCCCUAGUAACGGCGAGUGAAGCGGGAAGAGCUCAAAUUUGAAAGCUGGCGCCUCCGGCGUCCGCGUUGUAAUCUCGAGACGUGUUUUCCGCGCGGCACCUUGGACAAGUUCUCUGGAAAGGGACAUCGUAGAGGGUGAAAAUCCCGUACUUGCCAUGGAUGCACCGUGCUUUGUGAUACACGCUCCAAGAGUCGAGUUGUUUGGGAUUGCAGCUCAAAGUGGGUGGUAGACUCCAUCUAAAGCUAAAUAUCGGGGAGAGACCGAUAGCGAACAAGUACCGUGAGGGAAAGAUGAAAAGCACUUUGGAAAGAGAGUUAAAAGUACGUGAAAUUGUCGAAAGGGAAGCGCUUGGAGUUAGCCAUGCCGCUCGAGACUCAGCCUGGCCUUUGCUUGGUGUAUUUCUCGGGCAGCAAGUCAGCAUUGGUUUGUGCCGCUGGAGAAUGGCAGUGGGAACGUGGCACCUUCGGGUGUGUUAUAGCCCACGGCUGGAUACAGCGGUGCAGACCAAGGAACGCAGCACGCCCUCGUGGCGGGUCUUCGGACACCUUCGUGCUUAGGAUGCUGGCGUAAUGGCUCCAAGCGGCCCGUCUA